Molecule: unclassified non-coding RNA, 357 nt
Filed under: Hevea brasiliensis (rubber tree)
Lineage: Eukaryota; Viridiplantae; Streptophyta; Magnoliopsida; Malpighiales; Euphorbiaceae
Source: RNAcentral
GUUUGUUUCUUUGUUCAUUAAAGAGAUAGGCAUAGAUAGAAAAAGGAGAGACUUUCUCACAGAAAGCCUCCUAAGAAUAUUCACAAUUUUCUUUUGCUUCUUGCUGCUCAGUUGCUGUCUCCAAAUCACAUACACUUUUCCUUUUCUCUAAAUAAAUUUUCUUUUUGAUCUUGUUUUCCCGGAAAACUUUCUCGGUCAUAACUGUUUUUUAUCCAAGGAUCAGCAUAUCUCGCGGGAACCAAUCACACACGCAUCGUUAAUUCUUUGUCGUCGUCGUCGUCUUUUCUAUUUCCCUUUUUGUUUCUGUGGGUUUCUUCCAAGGCAAACACCUGCAGAAGCUAUAUUACGUGUAAAAGA